GACAGAGGGUGCAAACGUUGUUCGGAAUUACUGGGCGUAGAGCGCGUGUAGGCGGCUAAGUAAGUCGGGCGUGAAAUCCCACGGCUCAACCGUGGAAGUGCACUCGAAACUGCAUAGCUAGAGUCCUGGAGAGGAAGGUGGAAUGCUUGGUGUAGAGGUGAAAUUCGUAGAUAUCGGGAGGAACACCAGUGGCGAAGGCGGUUACCUGGGGUUGUUCUGACGCUGAGGAGCGAAAGCUAGGGGAGCAAACGGG
This 253-nucleotide ribosomal RNA is filed under the name uncultured bacterium. RNAcentral's name for it is "partial 16S ribosomal RNA". It matches the Rfam family "Bacterial small subunit ribosomal RNA", at positions 524 to 776 of the family's 1533-position model. The record is from RNAcentral.